Molecule: non-coding RNA, 416 nt
Organism: Cricetulus griseus (Chinese hamster)
Lineage: Eukaryota; Metazoa; Chordata; Mammalia; Rodentia; Cricetidae
Source: RefSeq, a predicted model, not a curated record
CGUCAUGUCAAAGGACAACUUGUAGGAGUCAGCACCCUGACCCCAGUCAUCCCGGGAACCAGACUCAGCUCAUCAGACUUCUCCACAGGCACCAUAGCCACUGAGACAUCUCUAGGGCUUACUCUUUGAAUGGCAUCCAGGCAUGAUGGUGUACACCUUUAAUCCCAGUACUGGGGAGAGAGAGGCAGGGGGAUCUGAGUUUUGGGCCACAAAGCAAGUUUCCGGACAACCAAUACAAAACAGUAUACUAUCAAAAGACUCUAUUAUAUUUAUUGUAUAUUUUGUGCUAUAUACCAUUUGGAUCAGAAAGUACAGAUUGUGACCAUAUAACUAGAAUCCAAAUUUUAUAUGUAUUUAAAGUAUGUAAAUAUGUUAUACCUAUAUUAAUGUAAGUAAACAUUUAACUUUUUAAAGAA